RNAcentral lists this ribosomal RNA (450 nucleotides) under uncultured bacterium. Its description in RNAcentral is "bacterial SSU rRNA". It matches the Rfam family "Bacterial small subunit ribosomal RNA", at positions 29 to 526 of the family's 1533-position model. The record is from RNAcentral.
AACGAACGCUGGCGGCAGGCCUAACACAUGCAAGUCGAACGAACCUUCGGGUUAGUGGCGCACGGGUGCGUAACGCGUGGGAAUGUACCCCUGAGUGAGGAAUAACGUAGAGAAAUUUGCGCUAAUACCUCAUAAUGUCUUCGGACCAAAGAUUUAUCGCUCAGGGAUCAGCCCGCGUCAGAUUAGAUAGUUGGUGAGGUAACGGCUCACCAAGUCGACGAUCUGUAGGGGGUCUGAGAGGAUGAUCCCCCACACUGGUACUGAGACACGGACCAGACUCCUACGGGAGGCAGCAGUGAGGAAUAUUGGACAAUGGGGGCAACCCUGAUCCAGCCAUGCCGCGUGAGUGAAGAAGGCCUUAGGGUUGUAAAGCUCUUUCAAUUGUGAAGAUAAUGACGGUAGCAAUACAAGAAGCUCCGGCUAAAUUCGUGCCAGCCGCCGCCGUAACAC